AAGGUAUGCACUAUUGCCAUAAUGGUUCAAGUAAAGACCUUGAAUUGUCUCAAACAUCUUCUAGCUAAAAAGCCAACAAUUGGCCCAACAUGACCGAUUCCUUUUGACUAAGAGCAUCUACAACUACAUUACCCUUAUCAAGAUAGUACAAGAUCUUGUAGUCGUAGUCUUUUAAGAGAUUCAUCCAACACCUUUGCCUCAUGUUCAACUCCUUCUGGGAAAAUAAAUACUUCAGCCUUUUGUGAUCAGUGUACAUUUUAAAAGUCUGACUAUAUAAAUAGUAGCACCAUAUCUUUAAGGCAACGAUAAUGGCGGCAAGCUAGAGGUC
Molecule: long non-coding RNA, 328 nt
Filed under: Carica papaya (papaya)
Lineage: Eukaryota; Viridiplantae; Streptophyta; Magnoliopsida; Brassicales; Caricaceae
Description: long non-coding RNA (CPAP_LNC016114)
Source: RNAcentral